UAGGGUUUGAUCCUGGCUCAGGACGAACGCUGGCGGCGUGCUUAACACAUGCAAGUCGAGCGAUGAAGUUUCUUCGGAAAUGGAUUAGCGGCGAACGGGUGAGGAACACGUGAAGAAUCUGCCCUCCACUUUGGGAUAACACCGGGAAACCGGUGCUAAUACCGAAUAUUGAAACAUAAGUGGCAUCACUGAGUUUUGAAAGAAUUUCGGUGGAGGAUGACUUCGCGGCCUAUCAGCUAGUUGGUGAGGUAAUGGCUCACCAAGGCAACGACGGGUAGCCGGCCUGAGAGGGCGACCGGCCACACUGGGACUGAGACACGGCCCAGACUCCUACGGGAGGCAGCAGUGGGGAAUAUUGGGCAAUGGAGGAAACUCUGACCCAGCGACGCCGCGUGCGGGAUGAAGGCCUUCGGGUUGUAAACCGCUUUCAGUAGGGAAGAAGCGAAAGUGACGGUACCUACAAAAGAAGCACCGGCUAACUAUGUGCCAGCAGCCGCGGUAAUUC
Molecule: ribosomal RNA, 505 nt
Filed under: uncultured Nostocoides sp.
Lineage: Bacteria; Bacillati; Actinomycetota; Actinomycetes; Micrococcales; Intrasporangiaceae
Description: bacterial SSU rRNA
Rfam family: Bacterial small subunit ribosomal RNA
Source: RNAcentral